RNAcentral lists this ribosomal RNA (426 nucleotides) under uncultured bacterium. RNAcentral's name for it is "bacterial SSU rRNA". It matches the Rfam family "Bacterial small subunit ribosomal RNA", at positions 30 to 456 of the family's 1533-position model. The record is from RNAcentral.
AUUGAACGCUGGCGGAAUGCUUUACACAUGCAAGUCGAGCGGCAGCGCGGGGGCAACCCUGGCGGCGAGCGGCGAACGGGUGAGUAAUAUAUCGGAACGUACCCCGUCGUGGGGGAUAACACAGCGAAAGCUGUGCUAAUACCGCAUACGACCUGAGGGUGAAAGCGGGGGAUCGCAAGACCUCGCGCGAUGGGAGCGGCCGAUAUCGGAUUAGCUUGUUGGUGAGGUAAAGGCUCACCAAGGCGACGAUCCGUAGCUGGUCUGAGAGGACGACCAGCCACACUGGAACUGAGACACGGUCCAGACUCCUACGGGAGGCAGCAGUGGGGAAUUUUGGACAAUGGGGGCAACCCUGAUCCAGCCAUUCCGCGUGAGUGAAGAAGGCCUUCGGUUGUAAAGCUCUUUCUAGUCAGGAACGAAACGGUA